CUCCUCGCCCCUCCCCAGCAAUGGCGCCUUGCUUCCCCUGCGGGGCCAGACCUUCUCCCCGCUUCCCUCUGCGGGCGCGGCCCACCCCCCCAACCCGUAGCACACCCCGCUCCCCCGCGGGUGGCACAGUGCUCCUUAGCCUCUCAGGCUGUCCCCACACAGCCCUAGUCCUCUCCCUGGAGCUGACCUCCGGAGCCUGCGUCUCAGCGCCCAGCGCCCCCUGGAGCAUCUCAGGCUGUGGCAUCGGGGCGGUGGUGCAGAUGAUCUGUGCUGCUCUCACUCUCCUUUGCCCUCCUCGGUCCAGCUGCUUUCUAUGCAGGUCUAGAAAAGAAGCUCCACAGAGCAGUGGCCUUAGAGAGCUGUUCUUCUGGGAUUCCUCGUACCUACCACCUGGUCUGGUGUGUACCGGAAGGGUAGGAAAUAAAUGAGUGUUGAUGCAGGGGAUAUUUUUCUAAAUGUGUGCGUGGAUAUUGUCAAGAAAUGUUUUGAAAGGGGUUCUCUGGUUCACCACCUUUCAGAAAUCCUCUGUGUGAUAUUCUCCUCGUGGCAACAUUCAAUGUUUAUUAGCAUAGUAAGGGCUGUACAGAGUCCUAAAAUAAAAUGAAUGUAACUGCUUAGCAGAGUGGGUUUGAGGCCUGGCAGAAAUGAGCAGCUUGACAAAUAAAUCCUGAAGAAGGUAACGUUGGAGUCAGAAAACCAUAUAGGAGUCAGCAGACUGUGGAAACGUUUGGCGAAAGUGUCUCCCCAUGUUCCCAGUUCCCCACAGAAGACACGAUGGCACAGCUGCAGGUGCUGUUCUGCCUGCUCUGGAAGAGGUCCUUCAGGUCGCUGGAAACUCCAAGUAGGUGUUUUCAAAUCUCUUUUAUCCUAAGCAUGUCACCAUGAAACCUCAGCAUAACUCCCUUGUGCUGGUGCAAAACUACCUUUUGCAAGCUCUGUUGCCUGGAUUUCACACCUGGGUCUGGGUUGAAUUGCUUCCUAUGCCGAUCUCAGGAAGCUACGCAGGAGUGUGAGCAGCCGUCAGAAUCGUGGCGUGCCAUCGGAGCUGCACUGGAAGGAGCAGGUGUAGGACGUGACCAGUUUUCGUGCAUUGUCUUCAAGGACAUGACCGCAGGAGGCAUGGUGGGGCCCUCCAUCAAGCGAACCUUUUACUUGUUUGUUUCAGAUAAACGCUAAUAUCUCAGGGAACUAGUGUUACCUGUCAAUACUUUGGAAACAGUUGGCUAGGCAGUGCAGUGAACUUAUACCCAUUAACGGAAUAUUUUUUACUGGAAAUGUAUUCUGUUAAACCUUGGGUGAAAAUAAUCGACACUAUCUCUUUUUUCACAUAUAUUUUUCUAUCGUGUAAAUAUAUCAUGCGAGUUAACUUGACAUUUUUUUAGGCCAUCCUGACCUAGAAGUAAAAGUUGGAUCACUCUUUAUAAUCUGAGAGAAAGAAACGUUCAAAAUAUACUAAAUUUUGUGUUUCAUUCACUUUUCCUUGUGACAGUGUAAGACUGAGUCCGUUCCUCACUGCCUGUUAUUGAGUUAUAGAAAAGAGAAAAGCUUUCCUUCUUCACUCCCAAACCGGCCUAAAUUUCUGUACUCCCUUAUAAAAUUAGAGAGCCUGUUUUCCUUUACCCAUUUAGGGCAACUUUCCAGACCCACAGGCCAGAGCCUUUGGCUGAAGGUGUCAUUCUGCCCCUCUCCCUGUCGGUGAACGUGACCUGGUAGCAGAGGCAGAGUGCUCUGUUUCCCAGCUUGGAGUCACAAGCAACGGAGGCACAGGAGGGUUUGCAUCAUUCCCGACAACUCCUCCGGAUGGAUGCCGCACGCUCAUUGCUUCAACAAGAGCUGCAGUGAGAAUGUGUCUCAGAUAUUGCCCAUCGCCAAAAGCAUAGGAGGACCCAAGUCAAGGUAGAGCCCACCUCAAAGAGAUGAGAGAUGCCUUUCAAAGAGCGAGGCAGGGCUGUGCUGGGUACUUUUCAUCUUCGCAUCUUGCUGAAGGGUCCAAAUAGAACUGUGUACUUAUUUCAGAGACUCUCUGGGUUCCUGAAAAGAGGGCAAAAUACGAUUCACAACAGUCUCUUUGCAUCACGGCAGAGAUUUUUUUCUUUGAAGACCUCAUGCUCCUUUGUAGUUUAUAUAAAUGUCCAAAAUACAUGUGGUUUCUUUGUCCAUGAAUACAUAGGAAUUCUGACUCUGGUCUCAGCAUGUUUACUUAUUACAUUAUUUCCCAAACGAGGGGUAAAAACUAAAAAUGAAAAGGUCAUCAGGAGCUAGUGGAAAACAAAAUUAGUUCAGAAUAACUCGAGCAGUUCUCCAAUCUAAAGUUCUUUUUUUUUUUUUUAAACUUCCAUUCAAAAGACCCUCAUUCCAAAUCUUCCCCUCUGUAACUCUAGAAAAUGCAACACAGAUGUAUGUACUCAGUGUUACACAGGAAAUGGAUUUUUAAAUUGAUCGUUAUUGGAAUGAGAGAGGAUAAUAGAUAAUAGUAUAGUGAAAUAGAUAAUGUGAACCUAUAUUAUCUUCAUGUUUUGUUUUGAAAGGUAAAGACGUUUCAGUGUUUCCUUUAAUGAAUGGGUUUCAUGUCUGUGUCUUUCAUACAGCAAUUUCCUUAUACCUUUGCAGAGAGUUGAAUAGUGAUAUGAUGAAGGAAUGAAUAUGAUUCUUGUCAUUUUUCUUCGACGAAGCUCAAGCACAGUCCCAAGAUUCUGUUUCUUUAUUACUGUUCCCUGAUGAAACAAUAGCCAUGCAUGUGCCGUCAGCUACUAACUAUAUUAUAAUGAUUUUUAAUUUUGUAACUCAUACCUCCAGGUUGCUCUCGCCUUUAAAUGUUGUCUCCUAUAUUCACCCACUUACCAGAUAAUUUGUACUUAAGACCAUCAAAGGAUAACUCAAACAUAUAUGGAACCCGGUGUGAGCCAAGGUCAACUCCCAAUCAGUGACCUCCCUCCUGUUACAGGUUGAAUGACAAAAUCCACAGGCGCAAGUCCUAACUCCGGCACCUCUCAUGUGAACUUAUUUGAGAGCAGUUACCAUUAGACGUGAUUACAGUGAAUUGCGAUGAGAUCAUGAUGAAGCAGGAUGGUCCCUCAUCCAGUGUUCUGGUGUCCUUAUAAAAAGGGGAAACUGGGGAGGGAAAUCGCAGACGGAAAACAGCCCGUGAAGGUGACGGGCAUAGCGCAUAGUGAAGAAAACAGAUCCGGGAACCAUUCAGCCUGUGUUUGAAUCUAAGUUCUACCACUGAUGAUUUAUGUGACCUUGGGAAAGUUGCCCAGUCUCUUUCUCAAUCUUAUGUACAACCUAAGAGCGAUACUGUUACCCAGCUCCCAGCUCCUCUGGGAUGUUAAGUGCCGACCAGUGUGAGCACGUAGUGCACUAUUUGACUGAAACACGGGAGGUACUCAGUGAAAGUCAGCUACAAUUCUUGGCUGUAACAGUAUCACUUUCCCACAUGUCUCUCCUCUAUUUCGUCAUUCACCCAUACCGCUGUAUUAGUGAGAGAAGUCUCCACUAAAACUGCUGAUAGCCUACGUGCAAAAUAAAACGGGACACUUACUUUGUUCAAUCUUUAUGUUGCUUCAACUUUUUUUUUUUUUUUGGCCACCUCUAUGGCAUAUGGAAGUGCUGGGGCCAGGGGCAGAAUCCCAGCCAGAGCUCUGAC
RNAcentral lists this long non-coding RNA (3646 nucleotides) under Sus scrofa (pig). Lineage: Eukaryota; Metazoa; Chordata; Mammalia; Artiodactyla; Suidae. The record is from RNAcentral.